Molecule: microRNA precursor, 120 nt
Filed under: Theobroma cacao (cacao)
Lineage: Eukaryota; Viridiplantae; Streptophyta; Magnoliopsida; Malvales; Malvaceae
Description: miR160c stem-loop (tcc-MIR160c)
Gene: tcc-MIR160c
Rfam family: mir-160 microRNA precursor family (bases 18-103)
About the family: The hairpin precursors (represented here) are predicted based on base pairing and cross-species conservation -- their extents are not known. In this case the mature sequence is excised from the 5' arm of the hairpin.
Source: miRBase by way of RNAcentral
AAAAGGGUCACGUCCUGAUCUGCCUGGCUCCCUGGAUGCCAACUAAGGAUGCUGUCGACAAGGAUUGGCCCUUCCUAGUUGGCAUCAGAGGAGUCAAGCAGGUCCAAAAUUAGACAGAUU